CACCGCGGUUAUACGAGAGACCCAAGUUGAAAGACAUCGGCGUAAAGCGUGGUUAAGAUAAAAUAUAAACUAAAGCCGAACACAUGCAAAGUUGUUAUACGCACUCGAAAGUAAGAAGUUCAAUCACGAAAGUAGCUUUAUACCCCUGAACCCACGAAAGCUUUGAAA
RNAcentral lists this ribosomal RNA (168 nucleotides) under Caprodon schlegelii (sunrise perch). Its description in RNAcentral is "partial 12S ribosomal RNA". The record is from RNAcentral. Lineage: Eukaryota; Metazoa; Chordata; Actinopteri; Perciformes; Anthiadidae.